This 353-nucleotide ribosomal RNA is filed under the name Streptomyces sp. RNAcentral's name for it is "bacterial SSU rRNA". It matches the Rfam family "Bacterial small subunit ribosomal RNA", at positions 1100 to 1444 of the family's 1533-position model. The record is from RNAcentral. Lineage: Bacteria; Bacillati; Actinomycetota; Actinomycetes; Kitasatosporales; Streptomycetaceae.
AACCCUUGUUCUGUGUUGCCAGCAUGCCCUUCGGGGUGAUGGGGACUCACAGGAGACCGCCGGGGUCAACUCGGAGGAAGGUGGGGACGACGUCAAGUCAUCAUGCCCCUUAUGUCUUGGGCUGCACACGUGCUACAAUGGCCGGUACAAUGAGCUGCGAUACCGCGAGGCGGAGCGAAUCUCAAAAAGCCGGUCUCAGUUCGGAUUGGGGUCUGCAACUCGACCCCAUGAAGUCGGAGUUGCUAGUAAUCGCAGAUCAGCAUUGCUGCGGUGAAUACGUUCCCGGGCCUUGUACACACCGCCCGUCACGUCACGAAAGUCGGUAACACCCGAAGCCGGUGGCCCAACCCUUG